This 305-nucleotide ribosomal RNA is filed under the name uncultured bacterium. Its description in RNAcentral is "bacterial SSU rRNA". It matches the Rfam family "Bacterial small subunit ribosomal RNA", at positions 333 to 655 of the family's 1533-position model. The record is from RNAcentral.
CAUGUCCUACGGGAGGCAGCAGUAAGGGAUAUUGGUCAAUAGGGGAAACCCUGAACCAGCAACGCCGCGUGAGGGAAGACGGCUUUCGGAUUGUAAACCUCUGUCCUCUGUGAAGAUGAUGACGGUAGCAGAGGAGGAAGCUCCGGCUAACUACGUGCCAGCAGCCGCGGCAAUACGUAGGGAGCGAGCGUUGUCCGGAUUUACUGGGUGUAAAGGGUGCGUAGGCGGCUUGGCAAGUCAGUAGUGAAAUCCAUGGGCUUAACCCAUGAACUGCUAUUGAAACUGUCGAGCUUGAGUGCAGUAGG